This is an RNA transcript of Gastrolobium bilobum, 1000 nucleotides long. It is a transcript of the gene named beta-galactosidase-like, with no coding region annotated. NCBI's taxonomy places the organism in Eukaryota, Viridiplantae, Streptophyta, Magnoliopsida, Fabales, Fabaceae. The record is from RefSeq and is a predicted model, not a curated record. The transcript has 5 exons.
AAACUGAUUUUAAAUCAGGUCGACCCAAACCAACCCGUUUACAUGACACGACUCAUCGACCAUCGUUCCUAAUCGAAUCAUAUUUUUCUUCACUGUUCAUAGCUCAUCGUUCCCAAUCGAACCCUAAUUUCACAGUUCACCAUCUAAAUCAUUUCUCUUCAGUCUCACUCUUCAUUUCUCCUCCUCCUCUCUCCUCUUCAGCUCAUGAACUCAGUUCACCAUCGAUUAAUAAUUCAAAUGUUUGUGUUGUGAAAGAGGGGUUCGGUUUUUCGAGUUAGGCUAGUGAAGAGGGGUUCGGUUUUGAAAAGCGACGGUCGGAGAUUGAGUUGAGGAAUAGAAGGAGGCAGUGAUUUUUUGAAGAAACGUUCCGUAGUCAGCUUCUGCCUUUGCACCAAUAGCAAAUCCUACAAAUUGUCCUUGGGGAGAGAAGGCAUUCACUUGCGAUAGUUAUAGUUCUGCAAAUAGAGGAGAGAUGGUUUCCCAACAAGAUGCUACCUGUUCGACCUCAGUUGCCCUUAAUAUUGAUUGACUAUUGUGGCUUCUCAGGCAGCCAAAGUGGGGUCAUCUGAAGGAUUUGCACAGAGCAAUAAAACUCUGUGAACCUGCUUUGGUAUCUGGAGAUCCUACUGUAACACGGCUUGGAAACUAUCAAGAGGCUCAUGUCUUCAAAUCAAAAUCUGGAGCUUGUGCUGCAUUCCUUGCAAACUAUAAUCCACAAUCUUAUGCAACAGUGGCAUUUGGAAAUCUUCAUUACAACUUGCCUCCUUGGUCUAUUAGCAUUCUUCCGGACUGCAAGCACACUGUUUAUAACACUGCAAGGAUGAGAAAAAAAUGAAACAAACCUUUAUUUCAGAUGACUUUACAAUGUAGAUUUUGUUACUGUUAAGCUUGAUCAAGUGUAUGCAAUUGAUUUUGAUUGAAUAAUUUUCUGUAAUUGUUAAUUUUAUGCAGUUGUAGUUUUGUGAGUUACAUGUUUCAUGAAAGUAGACAUAUACAAAAG